This 2047-nucleotide long non-coding RNA is filed under the name Setaria italica (foxtail millet). RNAcentral describes it as "long non-coding RNA (SITA_LNC007187)". Lineage: Eukaryota; Viridiplantae; Streptophyta; Magnoliopsida; Poales; Poaceae. The record is from RNAcentral.
UUUGGAUACGAGGUGUUAAACUUUAACAGUGUCACAUCAAAUGUUCGGAUGCUAAUUAGGAGAACUAAAUAUGAGCUAAUUAUAAAACUAAUUGCAGAACCCUAUGCUAAUUCGCGAGACGAAUCUAUUAAGCCUAAUUAAUCCAUCAUUAGCAAAUGGUUACUGUAGCACCACAUUGUCAAAUCAUGUACUAAUUAGGCUUAAUAGAUUCGUCUCGCGAAUUACACUCCAUCUAUGCAAUUAGUUUUGUAAUUAACCUAUGUUUAAUACUCCUAAUUAGCAUUCAAACAUCCGAUGUGACGGGUGUUAAACUUUAACACCGGUGAGCCAAACAGGCCCUAAACUACAACCCUCAAUUUUCUCAGUUUUAUUAACGCGGGCUUGCGCACGGCGCACGGUGUCGACAUCAUUGUCCUUGGCGGCAUAGCGCUGGCGGGACGUCUCAAAGACGAGGAUGUACGGGAGGCCCUUGGAUUUGUAGAGCUUGUGGUUGUCCACGAGCUCGAUCAGCUUCAGCAGCUCGACCACAAGCUUAUGGGUAUCGUCCAGCACGAUGUUAUGAACAAGGUUGUCAGUGCGUCGUGAACAAGGUUGCCAGGGAUGACGACAUCGACGCCGUGCGCCGUGCGCAAACGAGCGAGGCGGCGAGCGGCGGCACGUACGAGUGAGGCGGGCGGGCAGCGGCGCGUCCAACGUUCUGAGCGGUACGUACAUGAAAGCAAGGGUAGUUUAAUCCUUUCACAAUCGGAGGAAAUAAAAUUAUUAAAGAGAUAUAAUGUCAAGUAAAUUAACGUGUCAGUGGUUAUUAAAUUUGGAAGUCUACUUUUGAAGUGUUAAAUAUGCGAAACCACGAGCGUCAAAAAUACAAAUUUCUCAACUCUGGCGAGGUAGAAGAAGAAGAGCGCGCACGAAGCGAAGCGCCACACGGGCCGGCUAGGCCGUCCAAAGGCCAAAGCCCGCCAGCACCGCCGCCCGUUGAGAGAGAGACAAGGGCCGGCCGUGUUGAAAGCGAGAUGGGCUGUAUCAUUCAGGCAUGCCUAUGUGGCUAACUGGCCAUGUCCCGUUUUCGUCAAGAAAAAAACAUAAACAAGCCUGCCGUUUCAUGCCUCUUUUUUUAACGCACCAUUUCAUGCCUUAGAAGCAUCACCCAACAGUUGCCAUCGAAGCAUCACCCAGCAGUUGCCAUCAUCUUCAUAGGAUCGCAGGAAGCGAUUUUCCAUUCAUCUACCAUGUCCUUUUCGUGACUCCUAUCCCUGGAAGCAAAAUGUACCCGGAUGGACGAAGCUGCAAGGCAGGUGUUAUCUGAUAUGGACCUGAGCCCUUGUUUGUUUGGAAUCUGUCAGAGUAUCAGAGUGUUGAACGUUGAACUGAUGUACUCUGAUAAACCUUUUUCUCUUCACUGACUUGGCCCACUGGCACACAACAUAUCAAAUGUCAUCGUCUACAAUGGCUGCACGGUGCUAAGAACACACGGCUACUUUAGUUGCGUAGAAUAUAGGCCUUGUUUAGUUAGGGAAUUUGGGAGGUGCCAAAUUACUGUUACAGCACUGUAGCACACUGUAGCGUUUCGUUUGUAUUUGUGAAUUAUUGUCCAAAUAUUGACUAAUUAGGCUCAAAAGAUUCGUCUCGCAAAGUACAACAAAACUGUGCAAUUAGUUUUUAAUUUCAUCUACAUUUAGUACUCCAUGCAUGUACCGCAAGUUUGAUGUGAUGGGGAAUCUUCUUUUUGCAUAGUGUCAAAGUUGGGAGUAACUAAACAUGUCCAUAGUUUGCCCCUUCUGUUUACACGAUCUUGCUUCACGAGCAGUGGCCACCCUGAAUCAACGACUAUCAAAGCAGUUGCUUCCAAGAACCUUUGAAACAAGACACUGAAAGACCGAAGAGUAUAUUGCCAGAUACUGAACGACUGAAGAGCGUGCCUGACAGCUUGAUCUCCAUUAUUUCAGGUCAAAGGCUCUCCCAGUCUCCCUUAUCAGUAACUCACAGAUAAGUGGAUACUGUGAAGAGCGAAAGACUGAUUAGAGGAGCAACAAGAAACAGUCACGAG